GAAUAUAAAAUAUAUAUUUUAAGCUGAAUCAAUGUCGCACGAUAAGGAAUGAAAUAAGUGGAGUUUCCUAAUAGUUUUGUAGACUCUCGAAAAUAAGUUCAGACGUCUCUGUACCGACUGCAAGACUUUACUAAACUUGCUUAUGACUCGUAGCACCUAUGAAACCUAGAAGCUCUGAUACCAAUUUGUCACGAUCCCAAAACCCUAUCUUAGGUAGUCUUCAUGGCACCUAAUCACUGGAACUAAGUUAGCCUAACACGUGCUGAGAAUUAACGAAAUUUUACUAACUUAACUUCAAUACACUAAUUAAUAACUGAAACAACAUAGUUGAUCCAACAUCAGUAAUACAAUUCCAAAACCGGUAGUACAAGACAUAAGCUUUUCUGAGAGUAACUAGAAAUAUCAAGUACAUCAUUGUCCCGAAAUAAUAGUAAACAAUGGAAAUGAAAAACUAGAAAUAUCAAAUACAUCACUGCAGAAGCGUAGCAUGAGUACACCAUAGCGGUACCCAGUAAGUAUCAAGUCAAACCUCGGUAGAGUAGUGACGAGGCCAGAUCAAGACACCCACUAGACAUAUAAACCUGUGCAAGAUAUAACAUGAAGCUAACAAUGGAAAGAACAUCAAUGUAUGACUAAUAACGAAAAGAUUAUUGAUUUACAACCAAUAAUGAAAAUAAUAGAAGCAUAAAUAGCAGCAAGAAGUAAAUGGGAAUAAAGCAGUAACAACACCAAAGAGAUAUGAAUGAACUCAAAUAAGGAAAACAGAUGGCAGCUCAAUUAAUCAAAUCAUUCCCAACGCAUGGACUUGCAACAAGAGUUACCCCAAGGCACCACACCUCGUAACCACAAAUCAUGAGUCAAUUUCCAAAUCGUCAUGUCUGGCACCUUGUACCCACAAAUAACAAUCACCUUCGCUCGACAAGGCCCACCUGCUACCAUGUACAUUGCAACCGUGUCAAAUAUCAAUUAAAGUGAUCAAGAAUUGUAUAUAUAAUACCAAAUAACCGUAAUAAUACUCUGAAAUAAAGUAAGACGUCAAAUGAGAUAAUGAGUAUAUUUUAGAAAUCAAAUAAAGUAAAAUAAGAACAAAUUAUACAAAUAGAGUAUCAUAUAGGUUUAGUUUAGAAAUCAAUAAAAUAAGUAAAAAUAUCGUGUUUAAACAAAGUAAAACACCUGUUAAAUUAACGAGUUAAAUAUGUAAGUAAAAUGUGAUGACACUUUUCAAGUAAAGAAAACAUCAAAUAGGGUGAAGCAUGAAAUUUGAAAACCCAAUUAAAGUAAAUAUGAGAUAAGCAUUUAAAAUAGUGAAGUACCGAGUGAGAUAACGAGUUUUAUUUUGAAAGUCACAUAAGUAAAACAACUUAAGAAUUCUUUUAUUUAGAACCGCUAAGUUACCAACAACUUAACCUAAUAUGAGAUAAUAACCUCAUGCACAUAAAUUCACCUUGACAAUCAAUUUAUCAAGAAAUAACUGAGACACAAAUUGGCAUGUUAAGGUAACACAACAAAUCACGUAGAAUGCAUGACUCACACAAGAAGUCAACAUCGUUCCAUUACUAGAAUACCGACAGUCCACCAAAUACGAUCAAAAUAGAAGUGAAAUGGUUUAAGAAACAAUAAUAAAUGUUCAUCCGACAAACCAUUCCAACAUAAAAUGUACUACGAGAAUCACAACCAGGAAUAACUUUAUUAUCACAAACAAUCACAACAUAUCAAUCUUUUGCGGCGUGCAACCCGAUCCCUCUUAUAUCAUAUCAUCUGUUCUUAUCGCUCUGUACCAUAUCUUUUCAUAUUAUUUCAAUACCAUUGCGGCGUGCAACCCGAUCCCCAAACAAUAUGAAUUAAGAAAACAAACUACAACCAAUUAUGACGUAUCACAAAAUUAAACGAAAUAAAGGAACUAAACAAAGAAGGUCACAAGCGGAUAAAAUAGUUACAUGAUGACUCACAAAGUCAAAUAGCAAGUAAUGACUGUUCAUGAAUAAAGGCACAAUUACAAAGAAUCAAUUAACAAUUAAGGAACAUAACGGAUAUGGCAUGAAUUCAACAAGUAAUUGUAAUUAACAAUUAAUGCAGGUAAGGAGUAAACUUGACAAUAAAUGAUAGAACAUGUAUUAAACACUUCAAUUAAACGCAUGAAAGAAUCCUAAAAGUCUAAACCAGUCAAAUGCCACAUUUAAGCUCGUGUACACGUCUUUCACAUAAUUUAAAUAGUGCAAUCAACCCAAAUCCUAAGGAGUAGUUUUCCCCUACACAAAGUUAAGCAAGAUACUUACCUCAAUUAGGCCAAAUCAAUACUCAAAAAAGCUUUUCCCUUUAAAAUUCACCUCCGCUCGGCUCAAAUCUAGCCAAAAAUGACUUAACAAUAUCAAACAAUGCAAGAGAAACCAAUUCCAAUUAAUAAAGCUAUCAUCUUUAUACAAUUCCCCAAAAGUCAACAAAAGUCAACCCCGGGACCGUCCAAUCAUAACUCGAGUCGAAGGGAAGGUAUCGACUACCUAUAGCCACACGAGUUCAUAUAUGUGUUUGGUUUUCAAAUUCGAGUCCAAUUCGACUCUCAAAUCUCAAAUUUUUAUUUUUCAAAACAUAGAUCAAAUCCCCAAAAUAUCUCUUAGAUUCUCAUGAAUUAAAUAUUAAAUUUUGUAUAUAAUCAUGAAAAAUUGUUUAUUGAAAAUUAAUUAAAAUCACUUACCCAAUAGUUUGGUAUAAAUAAUCUCUCCACCAAAUCGCCUCCUACCGAGUCUAGGGUUCAAAAUAUGGUAAAAUGAAGCUAAGUCCCUAAAUACUCACCUAUAAACAAGUUGCAGAUAUCGCAUUUGCGAUCUGGGUUUCGCAAAUGUGAACCCCGCAAUUGCAGAAACUUGAUAGCAAAAGCGAUCACUGACCAACUUUGUUGACGUCGCAAAUGAGACAUAAAAGCUCGCAAAUGCGAAGCUGGGCACCUCGCUAAAGCGACGAGUGGGUCGUAAAUGCGGAAAAAUACCUUGCCUAGGUGCCAUCGCAAAUGCGAUCAACUUCUUCGCAAAUGUGAACUCAACAGUGCAACCACAACCUCGCAAAUGUGUAACCCUCCUCGCAAAUGCGAGGUUCACAAAUGCGAACAAAAUCUCGCAUUUGCGAGACUUGAGCACCAGACCAAAACCAACAAAACUGAAACUCUUCCAAACACUCUGAAACGCGUCCAAAACCCACCCGAGCCCCCGGAGCUCCACAUGAAAUAUCUACACAAGUGCAUAAAUAUCAUACGAACUCGCUCGCUCGAUAAAAACACCAAAAUGACAUCUAGAACCACGAAUCGGACACCAAAACACAUGAAAUUAUCAUUGAACUUCAAAAAUUACUAGAAACACAACCACGCGUCUGAAUCCUACCAACCAACUUCUAAUCACACCAAAUUUUGCAGACAAGUUCCAAAUGACGGACUUAUUCAAGUCUUGAAAUCAAAAUCUGAACCCGGUAGCUAUAAAGUCAAACCAUGGUCAAAUUUAGAAAAAUUCUAAACCUUUAAAUUGCCAAUUUUUGCCAAUUUGUGUCGAAACGCUCUAGAAUUAUCCAUAUGCAAAUAUUCUGAUCCAAGGUCAAAUACUGAAAAGUCAAACUUGGUGAACUCUUUCAACUUCAAGCUUCUCAAGUCAGAUUCAUCCUUCUAAAUCAAUUCCGAACAACUUGAAAAUCGAAACAAACGAUGCACGCAAAACAAAAUACACCAUGUGAAGAUAUUCGUGACCUCAAACUGCCGAACUGAAUGCAAAUACUAAAAACGAUCGGUCGGGUCGUUACACAUUCUCCUAAAAUUUCUCACAAAAACCCCAAUUUUUUCUCUUAGAUUUUAUCAAUCAAAAGCCAAAAUCAAUGAUAGAAUAACGAAUAAUAAUCAAAUCCGAGUUAAGAACACUUACCCAAUCCAAGUGGGUGAAAGUCGCCUAGAAAAUCACUCCAAUCCAAGCUCCCAAUAUCAAAAUAUGAUAAAAUGAAGCCAAACCAUCGAUUAUAAUUUGCUGCGAAGUGAUCUUGCAUCUGCGGUCCAACUUUCGCUUGUGCAAAGUCGCAUUUACGACCCAAGUCUCGCUUCUAUAGGCUUCACUUAAACUGCCGACCUUUUGCAUCUACACACACGGCUCGCAUCUGCGGCUCCGCUGGUGCGACUAAACCACAUAGAAGCGCCCUCCUAAGGAGCAACCACCCCUACACAUCUGCAUACUUCCAGUCCCAGGCCUACCUUCGCAGGUGCGGACUUCUCCCUCGCAGGUGCAACAUCGCAUUUGUGCACCGCACUUCGCAGUUGCGGGGUACUAGCAUCAGACCUGCCAAGAAGCAUCAAAAUGAUCUAGAACCUAUCUAAAACACACUCGAGCCUCUCGGGACUCCAUCCAAUCAUACCAACCAGUCCCAAAACAUAACACUAUCACACCCCAACCUAGGUGAGGUAGACAGGCAUCUAAUAUCUUACGUAUGCGAGCAACCAUUCCGUAAAAACACACGAUAUACUUACCAUAUUAAAAGCUCCUGCAAUCAGAAAAUCUCAAACAUAUAUAUAUAUAUAUAUAUAUAUAUAUAUAUAUAUGUUGCUCUCAUUAUUUAUUGAGAUUGUUGUGAGCCAUUGAGCUGUUAGGGUGUGUGGAUUCACGUUUCUGCUUUGAGGUAUCACUUAGGGCAUAGGUUGAAUCACAUUCAUAAUGAGGUAUCAGUUAGAACAUAUGGAUUUACAUUCAUAGUUUGCACAUGGAUAAGGAUACAUAGGGUUGCCCUCCCAUUUCUUUGUUGGGGACGUUCACGCAAGUUUGUGAGAGAGUGAUAGAUUUCAGGUUUGUUAUGAUACCAUUUGAUGAGUCCGGGCAUAAAAGUAGAAGCUUUAUCUAUUUUAAUUGAAACCCAUGCUUAUUCAUGUACUAGUAGGUGUUGCACGUGCUACGCACGGGCCCAACAUAGUAAAGUUGUAGUAAACAGAGCUUCGCAGGAAAUCAUUGAGCUAGUAAGCCGCAAAAUUACAGGGUCUAAAGAGUUUUGGAAGGGAGUUAUUUCCAAAAGAAUUUUCAAACCAAGUACAACACCCAAUUAAAAAAGGAAGCACAACACCAAACCAUAAGAAAACACAUCAACCCUAGACAAUCUGCAACCAAGAAAGAAUCGAAAAAAGAAGUGAGAGAUGCUUAAAGAAGCAGUCGGUAGCAUUCUUCUGUUUUAACACUCUAUCAAUCUCAUCUCUUGGAUGUCGCUAAUUGUUGUUGUUUGUCCAACAAACCAGUCUCACAUUACUCCCUAUAAGAAUGAAUGAUUUCCACAAAAAUCAAAGUAGUCGAGUUUCCACAUGCAUCAAAAACAUGGCAACUCAAACUAUAGAGAACAAAAGGAACAUUAAUAUAAAGAAUCUUACAACUUUGAUUAGUACGAUUUUUAGAAAUCAGAAUUUCUAGACAAAUUUGAAGUUAAAAGAACUAUUUGAUUGCCUAAUGAACCUUGGUGAAUAUCAAAUGACUCAAUUGUAACCUACAUACAUCAAAGAUUAGAAGCUACCUAUAUAGAUUGUGGAUGCUUCUAUUCUAUAGCAGAUAUUACAUCUGCUAGAGCUGAAAGUAACCUGUCAAUGUUCUAAGCUUCCUGAACCAUAGCAGAAGACUUCUAUGUACCAUGAUUGUGCAUAAUACGACACUUUUAUGUACAAUACUGCAAUAUAUAUAUAUAUAUAUAUAUAUAUAUAUAUAUAUUAUACGUCUCUAAAGUUAUUCAGUUCAAUCAUAUAUAGUUAAAUAGUAUAGAUAUAAUACCCAAAGAUGUAGUAAAUGUAUGCAUUUUCAAGCGCAUUACAAAUACAUCUUACUUUUUCAUUUGCUACGACGCAAACUAUCCACCCAGCUUUGUAGCCAACCUUUGCCUUUCUAACACAGCAACAUAUUAGAAGUUUUAUUACAGUACCUUCAAAAAGAACAUAACCAUACGGGAAUGUGAGAUUGUCAUCAUAUGAGUUUGUUGGUGCAGUAUAUGAAAUCAUUGACUAUAAUCUCCACGUUUCAAGUCUUUACCGGGGUCAAUUCUGUGAAAAUUAUACUCAUUCGAUAGCUAUAUUGAAAUGCAUAUACCAUGCUGUUGUAAUUUAUGAAAUAUAAAUAUAGCACAUAAAUUCACAUACCAAUGAGUACAAAUUUAAAGACCAUUGGAACUAUAAUAUAAGGAAGUCAAUCCAUAUAGUGUUGUCUGCCUAUGAGUACCAAUUAGUCCCCAACUUAAAAUAACAGUGCAUCCAGAGGUCCUUACACCAGUCAUCUACUGCAAUGUUGUAACCUAUAAUAUUUUUCCUUCUCUAAAUUUUUAUAAGAAAAUUUUAUAUCAUUCUCCAGGCAAUUUGUCUAGAAUAAACCUCUACUAACCAUUUUAUUUAACAAUAAGAUGAAAAACAAAAGUAUUGACAGUUCAAGAACUCAAUCUUUAGAAAUGAAUAUAAUGCAAUGAUUAAGAAAUUGGGUGCUACAAAAAUUGAGUUUUAACUUCGUCAUCCAGAAAUGAGUGCAGGUCUUUAAUGUGUUAAGAAAAGCAAGAGUCAUAUCAUAACCUUAAGAAACGAAAUAAAAAGAUACAUGUGGAUGACAUUUCCAUGUGAAUAUAUGCAAAGUUGUGUUGCCCUUCUUGCCACGCUUAAUCAAUAUUAGUUGUCCGUAUCUAGAAUUUCCUCGAUCACAAAACUAUCCUGACCUUCAAGUCAUAUGAAGUACAGUUUGACGCUUUUUCUUGAUGGAUAUUAUAUCUAGAUCUUGCUCGUUAAGCGCUUUUAGAAUAUGUAAGGACACACACUUGGCAGUUGUGUUUAAUGCAUUUUUUCCAUUCUUCCUAACAAUUUAUAUGGAGCUCACAGCUGCAUUUAUGCAACUACUCAAAAUACAAGCCCUCUUUAUUUAGCUAGUGUACAUGGAUAUUUAGAUAUGGUGAAGCCAAUUUACUUUAUAAAGUCUAGGCCACAUGGCCAAAUUUCCUUACAAUGCCUGUAAAUGACAUCAUAUGCUUUAUACUGUCAAACAUCGAAAAUACAGAAAAAUUGGGAUUGGUAGACACUCUUUUAUCUCUUUUAAUCCAAAAAACCAGUAUCCUCACCAAAAUCAUAUAUCUAAAGCCCACAAUUCAAAGUUCAAAUGCUCCAGAAAAGAAAAAAAUGUCUUUGCUUCCAUAAAUAAAUCACAUGUCUAUAUGUAAAGACCAAAAGACCUAAGUCUAUUUGUAUUAGUAAGUGUUUUAGUUGACAUGUGUUAUUAACCAUGAAAAUUUCUACAAUGCCAAACCACCUCAAAUUUUGACCUCUAGCUACAACAUUAUUAACAAAAAUUACAAUAUAAGCUACCCAAAUUACCUUUUGGAGUAAAAGCAUGACUAUUGUCUUCAGGAAAAAGUUUCUAUUGCAAAAGUAAAACGUUAAAGGAUCUUCAUCAAUAAGAGUGCAUUUGAAAUUUUAGUGGCAUUAACUUUAAGAUCGACGAUUCGUAAGAACUGUUCUUCUGUAAGAUUACUCCAUAUGAAUAAGCUUUUGUAAGCAUAGUAAAGUUAACAAGAUCAUAAAAGAAGUUCUAAAAAACUAAUAAGGCAUCUUUUUGUUAGAAGAAAAAGAAGUUAGAAGUUGUAUUAGGUUUCAUCAGGGCAACAAAUAUAUAGACUCAAAUACCAAUUUAAGGAAGUAAGUCUAGCCGUUCUAGAAAUUGUUACAAGAAGCGAGUGAUGGUAUAAAAAUUGAUCAAUCAUAAGAAGAUAAAAUAUGAAGUGGAUACUUCCUUAGUUCAUUCUGCAGUGUGCCUCAUCUUAAAAGGAUACACAACGACAAUUCAAAAAUGAUUCUUCAGCUUCAUAUCAUAGAGAAUUGGUUGAAUCAAAAUAUUGUUAAUUAGCUCCAGUUUCUAAUAGAUAUAGGCAAGUUCAUGUCCUGAUCGAACUUCUACAUGAUAGUAGCAAAUUUGCGGCAUAUGCAGGAUAUAAAUCAGGUAAACUUAUCGUAUUCAUCGGCCAUUUCCCCAAUACUUUAAAAGUUUCUAAAUAAUCAAAUGAUAAAUCUAGAACCAAUUUCUGACCCAAAAGAAGCAAAGGAAACACAAAAGGCACAUUUUUUAGUAAUUACACAUAAAAUACUAACCUUUCCUUCAGAUUUAGUAGAGAACUUAAGAUAACUACAUUUUAGGAAAAAAAUUCUAAAUCGUAGUUGAGGUAAGAAAAGGCAUUUACCUGUUUUUUCUUUAAAAUUGGAGUAACAAAUAGGAUGCUUACGAUUUUCAUACAUGCGCGGACAGCAAAGAUCUGAGCCGUACAAACAGCAUCCUGGAAUAAAUUAAUUGACAUAAAUAGAACUCAAUACCAUAACAAUUUCAUCUUCAUCCUUUCCAUUUUUUUUUUGGCCGUAUUGAAACCCUAAUAUGACGGAGAAGAAAACAGCACAAAAUAACAGCUUAUUCGGCAAAGAAGGGAUGAGAGUUAACCUACCUCUCAGCCAACACAAAAUCAAUUGUAGCUUACUUACCAGUUGAAGGAGACAAUAAAUACAAAAUCAUCUAAAUAAUAGAAAUCGACAUCUAUUGAAGAGGGAAAAAGAAUAAAUGUUUACCGAAAAAAUCGAAUUUGGGCAUCUAUUUCCAAACCAAACCUUUAUAAAAAUUGAUACUAUCAUCGAUAUGCAUGUAGAAAUCCAACAACAAACUAUUCAAAAGAACAUACAAAUUUAACAUAUUUUCAGUAAGGUGCCAUCAUCAAUAACCGGGUGUGUUAAACAAAGAUAAGAAAGCAGAAAACUCACUGAUUGAGAAGUAAGGAAAUUAGCAUAGACAACUUGGAACCGAGUGGAGAAAUCUGAACGACAACGAAUUCAAGGUCUCUGAGGAGUAAUAGAAAGGAAGAAGAUGAUUAGUGAUAAUAGGAGGAGUUUCUGGAUUGUACUAUUAGAGUUAGCAGUAGAGAAAUAAUUAUGAAUUAAUUAAAAGUGGAAUAUAUAAGUGUUAGAAAGGAAGAAGAUGAAAAAGUUCAAUUACCAAUUUAUCCCUAAAGGAGUAAUUACUACUGUACUAAUUAACGGGGGUAGGUCAAGGGUAUAAUAGACAAAUAGCCAUGUAGAUGUCGUGUUCGACGAACUCUGUUCGUCCUACCUCACUCCCGUUUCUAUAUAAUAGAAAUUUUUAAUGCUUUGUUGCGCAUGUCUUCUAUACACGUUGAUUCUAU
Molecule: long non-coding RNA, 9180 nt
Filed under: Nicotiana tabacum (common tobacco)
Lineage: Eukaryota; Viridiplantae; Streptophyta; Magnoliopsida; Solanales; Solanaceae
Description: long non-coding RNA (NTAB_LNC002311)
Source: RNAcentral